CCCUUUCUACUUGUUAUCAUCCUUUAUCAAUAUUCAUAAAUUUUAGUGACAAUAGAGAGUAAUUUCUUAUUUGUAUCAGUGAUAUUUUCAAAAUUGUUCUCUAGUAUGUCUAGGAAGUGUAGUGUUAGAAAUUGUAAAAGCUUUGAUGGUCUGUGCACUUUUUUUAGUGUACCUAAAGCUUCUCUUUCUUCUUGGACAAAUAUUAUUGAAAAAGUUAAUGGAUCUACCACACAAGUUAAGUUUGUUUGUGAAAAACAUUUUCUUUCUCAAGAUUUAAUUAAUUCAUACAUAGAAACAGAUCAAUUUUCAGAUAUUAAAGAUUUUCCUCAACCAUUGAGGCCUAGAUUAAAAAAAGGUGCAAUUCCUCAAAUUUUUUUUAAGAAUGAAGUUGAAGCUUCACAGGUUUUAAAUGAAUCAAGUCAAUGUUAUUUCAAUUUAAAAAGUAUUCAAAAUAAUGUAAAAUUACCGAAUGGUUGGCACUCAUUUAGAGAUGCUGAUGCUUUGACAUUUAUUAAUAUACAACAUGAUAAAACUACUAGUUUUAUAAAAGCCAUUAUUAGGAAACAAAUUGUUAUAACUAGUGAUAAGACAAUAAGAAUUCACAUAUUAGAUAAAAUAUUUACUGAAGAGGAUUUAUUAGUGCCAAAAAUAUCUUCAUUUUCAUAUCAAGAAGUGAAUAAAUUAAUUUUGUGUAUAGACAGUAAAAAUAUAUGCAUUGGAGGUCCUAAUGUAUUGAACUAUCCAGGUAUUGACAUUAAGUAUGGUGUAAAGAUCAAUAAUAAUAUUUGGAGACAUAAGAAAUGUAAUUUUGUCUUACAUAAAUUAAGUAUAAAGAGAUGCCUUUGGUGUAAAAAACUAUGUGCAGCUUUCCGCAUUAAAAAAUAUCAGAAUUUGAAAAAAAGUGUAGAAAAUAAUGUAGAUGGAAAAUAAAUUCUUUAAUAUCAAAAAAAUUUUAGAUAAAAAUAAAAAUAAAAUCUAUUAGUUGGUUUACACAACGAGAAGAAAAAUAGUUAAAUAAUAGAAAAGUGGUACAAGUUAAAAAAAAAUAAAGAGCACUAAAAACAAUUUUAUGAGAUGUAAGUUUAAAAUAAAAAACAUAUUGCAGUUAAUAAUUUCAAUGAUGAACAUGGAAUUGUGUUGGCUUACAAAAUUGUGAUAGACCAGUUACAGAGAUUAGUUAUACUUCUAGUUUUUGCUGAUAUUAUACUUUCAUAUUUAUGUGUGGAAAGAAAAUAAAUUUACUUUUGGAUAACAUAAAACAAAUUUUCAAUGUAUAGACAUUCAUCAAAUAGACAUUUGUUAUAUAU
Molecule: RNA transcript, 1307 nt
Organism: Daktulosphaira vitifoliae (grape phylloxera)
Lineage: Eukaryota; Metazoa; Arthropoda; Insecta; Hemiptera; Phylloxeridae
Exons: 5
Source: RefSeq, a predicted model, not a curated record